Molecule: long non-coding RNA, 457 nt
Organism: Myotis lucifugus (little brown bat)
Lineage: Eukaryota; Metazoa; Chordata; Mammalia; Chiroptera; Vespertilionidae
Exons: 4
Source: RefSeq, a predicted model, not a curated record
CUGAGUGCAGGAGUCUCGGAGUUGGCAUGGCCGAGGAGCCUUUGGGAGGGCUUUUUCUGGAGAAAGCAGCCGCCUUGGCUAAGGGAUACAUUUAGACCUCUCAAUGCCACAUACAAGCAAAACAUGGCACAGACGCUACAUGACAAGGAUUGUCUAAUGAGGAUGAGAUUUUCUAUAAGAAUAAAGGGUGCGCCUCACUGCCAUAAGGGGCUCCAUGGCACAGAUCCAAAUAGUGUGUGGUGUACGUUGACCACAGAUGGAGAAGAGGGGAAGAUGGUGAGGAAGAGGAGGGGAGGACGAGGAAGAGGCUGACUCAGCCAGUGACUGCAGGGAAAGCAGCUUCAGGAGGCACAGCGCCUACAGGUCAGCUAUUUUUCCAGGAAGCAGUAUGGCCAUGGGAGGAAGACUCUCAGAUUUCAGCUUUGAAGAGGAGCUCAGAUUGCCAGACUGGACUAGC